AAAGCAAUGCGUUUGUCUCCGACCUGGUAAAACCACAAAGCCUGAGCACGCAACAAAACAGAGGAAGCUUUGUUUUCAUCUACUUCUACUCAAAAGCAUCCAGCUUUCCAGGAGAAAAGAAGGGAGCGAUUCCGUCUGUAUCCUCCGACUCGCCGAGUUCGUGACCCCGCCUCGCCGCCGGACCCUAGAAGAAGCGGCCAGGCGUUUCCGCGCCAACCGCCAAACGAGCUGCAGAGCUCGCACCUUCUCUUUCUUCCCUUGGUUUGAGUAGCCGUGGCGGCCUGCUCCGGCCGGUGCCGCUCAGAUCUACCGCGGCAGAGGGGAAGCCCCGGGUUCAUGAUGGAGCACACCGCCGUCGGCGAGGAUCAGGCCAUGUCCGACCUUCGCGAUAAGCAUCGCCUGGACCUGGAGAGUUUAACGCUGACAUCACAGCCAUUCAAAACACUCGCAUUAUUUGUGCUAGCCAUUGGACAGAGUAUAAGAAGCACAUGUUCAUGUGUUCUGAAAGAAGGUUCUCGGUUGAAGUUCCUGGUUCCGUUGCUUGGUGCUACCUGUGUGCUUCUCUUGGUAACUGAUGGCCCACAUGAGAAGCAUAUGCAGGAACUGCUUUGGUAUGCCAGAUUUGGAUUAUGGUGGGUCAUACUAGGGGUGGCUUCAUCCAUUGGAUUAGGCUCUGGCUUGCACACCUUUGUGUUGUAUUUAGGGCCUCAUAUCGCCCUUUUCACAAUGAAAGCGGUUCAGUGUGGCCGGGUUGAUUUAAAGAGUGCUCCUUAUGACACUAUUCUUCUUAAAAGGAGGCCUUCAUGGUUGGAGAAAGAAUGUCUGGAGUUUGGACCUCCAAUAUAUCAGGAAACAAUCCCAUUCAGCAAAAUACUGCAUGAAGUUCAUCUUGAAGCUGUUCUUUGGGGCAUUGGAACUGCACUUGGAGAGCUUCCUCCAUAUUUUAUCUCUAGAGCAGCUAGCAUGUCAGGCCAAAAAGUAGAGGAGUUGGCAGAAUUGGAUGCUUCUAUCUCAAAAGAAGGUUUUCUAUCAUCAAUUCUACGGCGGGCCAAGCGCUGGCUUAUGUCUCACUCACAAUAUCUUAACUUCCCUACAAUACUGCUACUUGCUUCGGUGCCAAACCCUCUGUUUGAUCUUGCUGGCAUUUUGUGUGGACAAUUUAACGUCCCCUUCUGGAAGUUCUUUCUGGCAACUUUAAUUGGGAAGGCCAUUAUCAAGGUUUAUAUGCAGACAACAUUGGUAAUUACUCUCUGCAACAACCAACUUCUUGAAUUGGUGGAGGAAAGGCUUGUAUGGGUGUUUAGCAAUUCCCCUGGAGUAUCAUCCAUCCUUCCCUCUUUAGUCACCAAGUUGAAGACAGCUAAGGAUAAGUUUUUAAUGGCAAGUGUUGCUACAUCAGCUUCUAGUGCUGCGAAGGGGAAGAAGUGGAAUCUGUCGUUCUCUUUGAUCUGGAAUACCGUGGUGUGGCUCAUGGUCGUGAAUUUCAUCGUUCAGAUAAUCACUUCCACGGCACAGAGUUAUCUCAAGAAACAACAAGAGCUUGAGAUCAGCAUGAAGUCAUCAGCUACAAUGAGUUCCGCUUCUGAACCUGCUGCCGGAAUAUCAAAUUAAUCGAGCCAGGGCAUUUCAUCCAGACAGAUAUUCAAUUUAUAUUCAUGCCAUCAGUUCCUGCAUGAUACUGAUUUGGGAAUUCUAAAUCUGGUCAUUUACUGGAUAGCUGGCAUCUUCUCCAAGAAAUCACAUUGAUACAGUGUAUAUAGCCCACCCCAUCAAGCCAGCAUGACUGCAAAAUUAAGAAGCGCUGUCUGUAUUCUCGUGGAGCACUUGCUUAUUGAUCUACUUAGUAGAAAGUCAGCAAAAAAGAGAGGAGAAAAAAGGAAGUCACCGUCCGUCGGUCAAAAAAAAAAAAAAAACAGGAAGUUCGACUAGUGCGCAAGUGUAAUGUUGGCCUUGUACAUAGCAACCAAGAUAUUGCCAUGAAUUGCACAAUAAGCAUUAAGUUUGUGCCUACCAUCUUGAUGUUGUCGUUUUUGUCUCCGCAUUGGUCAUGAUCUGUCAAGAUCCGCCAUUUGUUCCUGAUGGCUACGCG
Molecule: ribosomal RNA, 2089 nt
Filed under: Triticum aestivum (bread wheat)
Lineage: Eukaryota; Viridiplantae; Streptophyta; Magnoliopsida; Poales; Poaceae
Description: partial small subunit ribosomal RNA
Source: RNAcentral